GUGGGGGGGUCAGCCCCCCGCCCGGCCAGACGCCCCGUCCGGGAGGGAGGUGGGGGGGUCAGCCCCCCGCCCGGCCAGCCGCCCCGUCCGGGAGGGAGGUGGGGGGGUCAGCCCCCCGCCCGGCCAGCCGCCCCGUCCGGGAGGGAGGUGGGGGGGUCAGCCCCCCGCCCGGCCAGCCGCCCCGUCCGGGAGGGAGGUGGGGGGGUCAGCCCCCAGCCCGGCCAGCCGCCCCGACCGGGAGGGAGGUGGGGGGGUUAGCCCCCCGCCCGGCCAGCCCCCCCAUCCGGGAGGGAGGUUGGGGGGUCAGCCCCCCGCCCGGCCAGCCGCCCCGUCCGGGAGGUGAGGGGCGCCUCUGCCCGGCCGCCCCUACUGGGAAGUGAGGAGCCCCUCUGCCCGGCCACCACCCCGUCUGGGAGGUGUACCCAACAGCUCAUUGAGAACGGGCCAGGAUGACAAUGGCGGCUUUGUGGAAUAGAAAGGGGGGAAAGGUGGGGAAAAGAUUGAGAAAUCGGAUGGUUGCCGUGUCUGUGUAGAAAGAAGUAGACAUGGGAGACUUUUCAUUUUGUUCUGUACUAAGAAAACUUCUUCUGCCUUGGGAUCCUGUUGAUCUGUGACCUUACCCCCAACCCUGUGCUCUCUGAAACAUGUGCUGUGUCCACUCAGGGUUAAAUGGAUUAAGGGCGGUGCAAGAUGUGCUUUGUUAAACAGAUGCUUGAAAGCAGCAUGCUCGUUAAGAGUCAUCACCACUCCCUAAUCUCAAGUACCCAGGGACACAAACACUGCGGAAGGCCGCAGGGUCCUCUGCCUAGGAAAACCAGAGACCUUUGUUCACUUGUUUAUCUGCUGACCUUCCCUCCACUAUUGUCCUAUGACCCUGCCAAAUCCCCCUCUGUGAGAAACACCCAAGAAUUAUCAAUAAAAAAUAAAUAAAUAAAAAAAAAAGAUUCAGUUCUGUACUCCAUUGAAAAUUUACAUUUCAUUUUUU
This 985-nucleotide long non-coding RNA is filed under the name Homo sapiens (human). RNAcentral's name for it is "HSALNT0300506". The record is from RNAcentral. Lineage: Eukaryota; Metazoa; Chordata; Mammalia; Primates; Hominidae.